UACGGGGGGAGCAAGCGUUGUUCGGAUUUACUGGGCGUAAAGGGCGCGUAGGCGGUCGUGACAAGUCACUUGUGAAAUCUCCGGGCUUAACUCGGAAAGGUCAAGUGAUACUGUCGGACUAGAGUACAGAAGGGGCAACUGGAAUUCUCGGUGUAGCGGUGAAAUGCGUAGAUAUCGAGGGGAACACCUGCGGCGAAGGCGGGUUGCUGGGCUGAUACUGACGCUGAGGCGCGAAAGCCAGGGGAGCGAACGGG
RNAcentral lists this ribosomal RNA (254 nucleotides) under uncultured bacterium. Its description in RNAcentral is "partial 16S ribosomal RNA". It matches the Rfam family "Bacterial small subunit ribosomal RNA", at positions 524 to 776 of the family's 1533-position model. The record is from RNAcentral.